This 1050-nucleotide ribosomal RNA is filed under the name uncultured bacterium. RNAcentral describes it as "bacterial SSU rRNA". It matches the Rfam family "Bacterial small subunit ribosomal RNA", at positions 8 to 1064 of the family's 1533-position model. The record is from RNAcentral.
AGAGUUUGAUCCUGGCUCAGGACGAACGCUGGCGGUGCGCCUAAUGCAUGCAAGUCGAACGGGCGAAGGGGCUUCGGCCCCCUAGCUAGUGGCAGACGGCUGAGUAACACGUAAGUGAUCUGCCCCGGAGAGGGGGAUAAGCCGGAGAAAUCCGGUCUAAUACCCCGUACGCUCCCUUUACUACGGUAUAGGGAGGAAAGGUUCCGGCGCUCUGGGAGGAGCUUGCGGCCUAUCAGGUAGUUGGUGGGGUAACAGCCUACCAAGCCGAAGACGGGUAACCGGUGUGAGAGCACGAUCGGUCAGAGGGGGACUGAGACACGGCCCCCACUCCUACGGGAGGCAGCAGCAGGGAAUCUUGCGCAAUGGGCGAAAGCCUGACGCAGCGACACCGCGUGGGGGAUGAAGGCUUUCGAGUUGUAAACCCCUUUUCCCGGGGAUGAGAAAGGACAGUACCCGGGGAAUAAGGUUCGGCUAACUACGUGCCAGCAGCCGCGGUAAUACGUAGGAACCGAGCGUUGUCCGGAUUUACUGGGCGUAAAGUGCGCGUAGGCGGUCCGUUAAGUCUCAUGUGAAAUCUCCCGGCUCAACUGGGAGGGGUCAUGGGAUACUGGCAGACUGGAGUGCAGUAGAGGAAAGCGGAAUUCCCGGAGUAGUGGUGGAAUGCGUAGAUACCGGGAGGAACACCAGAGGCGAAGGCGGCUUUCUGGGCUGUAACUGACGCUGAGGCGCGAAAGCGUGGGUAGCAAACCGGAUUAGAUACCCGGGUAGUCCACGCCCUAAACGAUGGAUACUAGGCAUGGGGGGUAUCGACCCCCUCCGUGCCGCAGCUAACGCAAUAAGUAUCCCGCCUGAGGAGUACGGCCGCAAGGCUAAAACUCAAAGGAAUUGACGGGGGCCCGCACAAGCGGUGGAGCGUGUGGUUUAAUUCGAUGCUAAGCGAAGAACCUUACCUGGGCUUGACAUGUUGGUAGUAGCGCGCCGAAAGGCGUCGCGAUCCCGGGGUAACUCGGGAAGCCUUCACAGGUGCUGCAUGGCUGUCGUCAGCUCGUG